RNAcentral lists this ribosomal RNA (449 nucleotides) under uncultured bacterium. Its description in RNAcentral is "partial 16S ribosomal RNA". It matches the Rfam family "Bacterial small subunit ribosomal RNA", at positions 29 to 523 of the family's 1533-position model. The record is from RNAcentral.
AACGAACGCUGGCGGCGUGCCUAACACAUGCAAGUCGAACGAGACCUUCGGGUCUAGUGGCGCACGGGUGCGUAACGCGUGGGAAUCUGCCCUUGGGUUCGGAAUAACAGUGAGAAAUUACUGCUAAUACCGGAUGAUGUCUUCGGACCAAAGAUUUAUUGCCCAGGGAUGAGCCCGCGUAGGAUUAGCUAGUUGGUGGGGUAAUGGCCUACCAAGGCGACGAUCCUUAGCUGGUCUGAGAGGAUGAUCAGCCACACUGGGACUGAGACACGGCCCAGACUCCUACGGGAGGCAGCAGUGGGGAAUAUUGGACAAUGGGCGAAAGCCUGAUCCAGCAAUGCCGCGUGAGUGAUGAAGGCCUUAGGGUUGUAAAGCUCUUUUACCAGGGAUGAUAAUGACAGUACCUGGAGAAUAAGCUCCGGCUAACUCCGUGCCAGCAGCCGCCGUAA